AAUGAACGCUGGCGGCAUGCCUAACACAUGCAAGUCGAACGAAGGCUUCGGCCUUAGUGGCGCACGGGUGCGUACCGCGUGGGAAUCUGCCCUCAGGUUCGGAAUAACAGCGAGAAAUUGUUGCUAAUACCGGAUGAUAUCGCGAGAUCCAAGUUUUAUCGCCUGCGGAUGAGCCCGCGUAGGAUUAGCUAGUUGGUGUGGUAAAGGCGCACCAAGGCGACGAUCCUUAGCUGGUUUGAGAGGAUGAUCAGCCACACUGGGACUGAGACCCGGCCCAGACUCCUACGGGAGGCAGCAGUGGGGAAUAUUGGACAAUGGGCGAAAGCCUGAUCCAGCAAUGCCGCGUGAGUGAUGAAGGCCUUAGGGUCGUAAAGCUCUUUUACCCGGGAUGAUAAUGACAGUACCGGGAGAAUAAGCUCCGGCUAACUCCGUGCCAGCAGCCGCCGUAA
RNAcentral lists this ribosomal RNA (449 nucleotides) under uncultured bacterium. RNAcentral describes it as "partial 16S ribosomal RNA". It matches the Rfam family "Bacterial small subunit ribosomal RNA", at positions 29 to 523 of the family's 1533-position model. The record is from RNAcentral.